AAUUGUGGUAAAUUGGUUUGGUAAUGCCUAUUUUGACGGAAGAAACCUGAAAGAAAAAGGUGCCCGUGCUGUGCUUAUUAAGGCAAAUAUUAAAGAAUAAUUUUGAGAAUGUUUCUUUAUUUCACUUCAAUCUUCUCUUCAAAUUUUAGAAAAUGGUGGUCUUCCAAAUCCAUAAAAUUUGAUAAUGCUGUGUUUCAUAAAUGAGAAUGCCCGAGAACUGUUUGAUUAAAUGCCAAAAAGAGAUAUCUUCUCAUGUUACUUUAUGAGAAACCAGAUAUUCAUGAACUGGGGAAUCUCAUCAGUGGAGCAGGAAAUAAUUC
Molecule: long non-coding RNA, 320 nt
Filed under: Panax ginseng (ginseng)
Lineage: Eukaryota; Viridiplantae; Streptophyta; Magnoliopsida; Apiales; Araliaceae
Description: long non-coding RNA (PGIN_LNC004086)
Source: RNAcentral